Molecule: transfer RNA, 76 nt
Filed under: Bacteriophage sp.
Description: tRNA-Arg
Rfam family: tRNA
About the family: Transfer RNA (tRNA) molecules are approximately 80 nucleotides in length.
Source: RNAcentral
GUCGUCAUAGCCCAAGGGAUAGGGCGGCUGUCUCCUAAACAGCAGGUUGAAGGUUCAAGUCCUUCUGGCGACUCCA